This 622-nucleotide ribosomal RNA is filed under the name uncultured archaeon. RNAcentral describes it as "bacterial SSU rRNA". It matches the Rfam family "Archaeal small subunit ribosomal RNA", at positions 147 to 774 of the family's 1478-position model. The record is from RNAcentral.
UAAUACUCCAUAGAUUAGAGACACUGGAAUGUUCUUUAGUCGAAAGUUCUGGCGCCUUAGGAUGGAUCUGCGGUCGAUUAGGUUGUUGUUGGGGUAACGGCCCAACAAGCCUGUAAUCGAUACGGGUUGUGGGAGCAAGAGCCCGGAGAUGGAAUCUGAGACACGAUUCCAGGCCCUACGGGGCGCAGCAGGCGCGAAAACUUUACAAUGCAGGAAACUGUGAUAAGGGAACUCCGAGUGCCCGUAUACGCGGGCUGUCCAGGUGUUUAAAAAUCAUCUGAAGAAAGGGCCGGGCAAGACCGGUGCCAGCCGCCGCGGUAAUACCGGCGGCUCGAGUGGUGGCCACUAUUAUUGGGCUUAAAGCGUCCGUAGCUGGACCGAUAAGUCUCUUGGGAAAUCCGCCGGCUCAACCGGCGGGCGUCUAAGGGAUACUGUUAGUCUAGGGACCGGGAGAGGUGAGAGGUACUCCGGGGGUAGGAGUGAAAUCCUGUAACCCCCGGGGGACCACCGAUGGCGAAGGCAUCUCACCAGAACGGCUCCGACAGUGAGGGACGAAAGCUGGGGGAGCGAACCGGAUUAGAUACCCGGGUAGUCCCAGCCGUAAACUAUGCGCGUUAGGUGU